GGCAGUUUGUCCGAGUGGUUAAGGAGUCACACUCGAAAUGUGAUAGGCUCUGCCUGCACAGGUUCAAAUCCUGUAGCUGUCG
RNAcentral lists this transfer RNA (82 nucleotides) under Neoconidiobolus thromboides FSU 785. RNAcentral describes it as "tRNA-Ser". It matches the Rfam family "tRNA". Rfam says of the family: Transfer RNA (tRNA) molecules are approximately 80 nucleotides in length. Their secondary structure includes four short double-helical elements and three loops (D, anti-codon, and T loops). Further hydrogen bonds mediate the characteristic L-shaped molecular structure. tRNAs have two regions of fundamental functional importance: the anti-codon, which is responsible for specific mRNA codon recognition, and the 3' end, to which the tRNAs corresponding amino acid is attached (by aminoacyl-tRNA synthetases). tRNAs cope with the degeneracy of the genetic code in two manners: having more than one tRNA (with a specific anti-codon) for a particular amino acid; and 'wobble' base-pairing, i.e. permitting non-standard base-pairing at the 3rd anti-codon position. Lineage: Eukaryota; Fungi; Entomophthoromycota; Entomophthoromycetes; Entomophthorales; Neoconidiobolaceae. The record is from RNAcentral.